Molecule: long non-coding RNA, 638 nt
Organism: Grus americana (Whooping crane)
Lineage: Eukaryota; Metazoa; Chordata; Aves; Gruiformes; Gruidae
Exons: 4
Source: RefSeq, a predicted model, not a curated record
UCGCCUGUGCCUGGCCUGGCUCGCCUCGUGGCGUGGGGGCGAAAAGGGACAGGCGGCGGAGCGCUUACCGGCCGUGGACAGCAGCUGCCCUAAGGGAAGCUGGAAUGGCCAGAGAAAGGUGAAGAAGAAGAAGAAGAAGAUGGAAGGCUCUCCGGCCGGCAGCUGCCUCCCGCUGCAGGCAAGAGAGCGCCUGCCUCGCCGGGCGGAGGACAGCCGAGCGACCGGAGUGACAGCAAAGGAAAGGCGGAGAGCGGGAGAAAGAAGCGUCUGCGCUGGCAAGCUCUCCCGGCAGCGCCGAGAGCCAGAGCUGCGGUGCUGCUGCGCCGAUGCUCCGUACGUUCGCAGUAACGGGUAGAGCGGAAGGCUCCGUGGCCAGGGAAGAGCGGCACGGACACGUUCCUGCUCGCUCCGUUGCACCGGAAUUUCGACGGCUGGGUUCGGCCGCUAAAUUGAUGGCGCUACCGGAAGAAAUUUCAGAAAAAAAGGGUGGCUUUUUCGUCGAUCUCUUUGUGAGAGUAUCAAAUCAGGCGGCGGUAAAUACGUAGAAGCAACUAGGCGUACUACGGCGUGUACCGGACAGCGUUGGCGUGCCGCUCUGCUAGCAGCGGAGAGCCAGAUGAGGAUGCCCGUGGUAAGUA